AGAGUUUGAUCCUGGCUCAGGACGAACGCUGGCGGCGUGCCUAACACAUGCAAGUCGAACGGGACCAGGGGCAACUCUGGUUCAGUGGCGGACGGGUGCGUAACACGUGAGGAACAUGACCUUCGGCGGGGGAUAGCCGGCCCAACGGCCGGGUAAUACCGCGUACGACCUUUCGGGGACAUCCCUGGAUGGUGAAAGCAGCAAUGCGCCGAUGGAGUGCCUCGCGGCCUAUCAGCUAGUUGGUGGGGUAACGGCCCACCAAGGCGACGACGGGUAGCUGGUCUGAAAGGAUGGCCAGCCACAUUGGGACUGAGACACGGCCCAGACUCCUACGGGAGGCAGCAGUGGGGAAUAUUGCGCAAUGGACGAAAGUCUGACGCAGCGACGCCGCGUGUGGGAUGACGGUCUUCGGAUUGUAAACCACUGUCGGGAGGGACGAAUACGCCGCAAGGCGGGUGACGGUAUCUCCAAAGGAAGCACCGGCUAACUCCGUGCCAGCAGCCGCGGUAAUACGGAGGGUGCGAGCGUUGUCCGGAAUCACUGGGCGUAAAGGGCGCGUAGGCGGCCUGAUAAGUAGGGGGUGAAAUCCUGCGGCUUAACUCGCAGGGCUGUCUUCUAAACUGUCAGGCUCGAGCACAGUAGAGGCAGGUGGAAUUCUCGGUGUAGCGGUGGAAUGCGUAGAGAUCGGGAAGAACAUCAGUGGCGAACGCGGUCUGCUGGGCUGUUGCUGACGCUGAGGCGCGACAGCGUGGGGAGCAAACAGGAUUAGAUACUCUGGUAGUUCACGCUGUAACGAUGGACACUAGGCGUCGGGGGGAGCGACUCUCCUGGUGUGUCGCUAACGCAGUAAGUGUCUCGCCUGGGGAGUACGGCGCAGGCUGAAACUCAAGGAUG
RNAcentral lists this ribosomal RNA (894 nucleotides) under uncultured bacterium. RNAcentral describes it as "bacterial SSU rRNA". It matches the Rfam family "Bacterial small subunit ribosomal RNA", at positions 8 to 909 of the family's 1533-position model. The record is from RNAcentral.